Molecule: ribosomal RNA, 482 nt
Filed under: uncultured bacterium
Lineage: Bacteria
Description: partial 16S ribosomal RNA
Rfam family: Bacterial small subunit ribosomal RNA
Source: RNAcentral
GACGAACGCUGGCGGCGUGCUUAACACAUGCAAGUCGAACGCUGAAGCUCAGCUUGCUGGGUGGAUGAGUGGCGAACGGGUGAGUAACACGUGAGUAACCUGCCCUCUUCUUUGGGAUAACGCCCGGAAACGGGUGCUAAUACUGGAUAUUCACUGAUUCUCGCAUGGGGGUUGGUGGAAAGGUUUUUUCUGGUGGGGGAUGGGCUCGCGGCCUAUCAGCUUGUUGGUGGGGUGAUGGCCUACCAAGGCUUUGACGGGUAGCCGGCCUGAGAGGGUGACCGGUCACAUUGGGACUGAGAUACGGCCCAGACGCCUACGGGAGGCAGCAGUGGGGAAGAUUGCACAAUGGGCGAAAGCCUGAUGCAGCGACGCCGCGUGAGGGAUGGAGGCCUUCGGGUUGUAAACCUCUUUCGCUCAUGGUCAAGCCGCAGCUUUGGGUUGUGGUGAGGGUAGUGGGUAAAGAAGCGCCGGCUAACUACGUG